AGUGGGGAAUUUUGCGCAAUGGGCGAAAGCCUGACGCAGCAACGCCGCGUGUGUGACGAAGGCCCUAGGGUUGUAAAGCACUGUGGGAGGGGAAGAAAAAACGGGAUAGUCUCCCGUCUUGACGGUACCCUGUUAGAAAGCACCGGCUAACUCCGUGCCAGCAGCCGCGGUAAUACGGAGGGUGCAAGCGUUGUUCGGAAUUAUUGGGCGUAAAGGGCGUGUAGGUGGCACUCCAAGUCUGGUGUGAAAGCCCACGGCUCAACCGUGGAACUGCAUUGGAAACUGGGGAGCUCGAGUGUUGGAGGGGGUCGCGGAAUUCCCGGUGUAGAGGUGAAAUUCGUAGAGAUCGGGAGGAACACCAGUGGCGAAGGCGGCGACCUGGCCAAUCACUGACACUGAGACGCGAAAGCGUGGGGAGCAAA
This 422-nucleotide ribosomal RNA is filed under the name uncultured Desulfuromonadales bacterium. RNAcentral describes it as "bacterial SSU rRNA". It matches the Rfam family "Bacterial small subunit ribosomal RNA", at positions 353 to 772 of the family's 1533-position model. The record is from RNAcentral. Lineage: Bacteria; Pseudomonadati; Thermodesulfobacteriota; Desulfuromonadia; Desulfuromonadales.